Molecule: ribosomal RNA, 287 nt
Filed under: uncultured bacterium
Lineage: Bacteria
Description: partial 16S ribosomal RNA
Rfam family: Bacterial small subunit ribosomal RNA
Source: RNAcentral
GUGGAUUAGAUACCCUAGUAGUCCACGCCGUAAACGAUGUCAACUUGGAGUCUGUGCCAUAGAGCGUGGGCUCCGAAGCUAACGCGAUAAGUUGACCGCCUGGGGAGUACGGCCGCAAGGUUAAAACUCAAAUGAAUUGACGGGGGCCCGCACAAGCGGUGGAGCAUGUGGUUUAAUUCGAUGCAACGCGAAGAACCUUACCUGGCCUUGACAUGCUGAGAAUUCUGUAGAGAUACGGAAGUGCCUUCGGGAACUCAGACACAGGUGCUGCACGGCCGUCGACAACU